Molecule: long non-coding RNA, 5147 nt
Organism: Ictalurus punctatus (channel catfish)
Lineage: Eukaryota; Metazoa; Chordata; Actinopteri; Siluriformes; Ictaluridae
Source: Ensembl
UAAUGUCCAACAAUGUUGAAGGUGAAAAUAGCGAGACGAAGGCAGAGAAAGACAUCGACUGAAGGAUUUGUGAACAAAGCAGUACUGGAUUUCCGACUUUUUAAAUCUAAAUAAGGAUUAAUUUAAACAAAUUAACGUUUUCAACGACGGUUUUUUUAAUCUUCGGAUAUUGCCGUUUGCUGGAUGAACGACAUAACACUGGAAACUAUUUUUCCCCAUUUCAACGUCGAUUAAGUGACGUCACAAAUACCCGUAUGUGGGCAGGGUCGGAGCUACGAGGGGAGAGAGGCACGCCCGGAGCGUCGACGGGGAACUGCGCAUGCGCGAUGCAGAUAGCGAGGUUAUUUACAUUCCGAUAACUUUGACUUCGAAACGUGAACAUGAAAACUUACAUAUUACGUGAAAGUUAGGUUAAUAUUAAUACCCCCGCCCCACAAAAGGAUUUGUUUAAACGGGAUGUUUCAAAGUUAAAAUUACGCUAACCGCUACAAUGGCUUCACAAGCUCCACUACGGCUCUGUGGUUGCUAUGUGAACGACUUCUCAGCUGUCCAAUCAGCGAACGGCUUGCGAAGCUUUCCAGCCAAUCCGAGCGCGAGAGGAAUGUGGUUGGGGAAGGAGAACAGCGCAUAGACGGGACGCCAUUAAAAAUUCCGCCGUUUGCACUAUUAAAAACGUGUCACGUUUUAUUAAAGAUAUUAGAGGGCUUAAAUAAAGUAUUUAAGUGAACUUGAUAAAUAUAAGCUCACUUUUUUGCACAUAAAGCGUUUAAAUAUCGGGGAUUUUUAAAUCUGUGCCAGUUCAGCUCUGUGGGUGUGGCCUGCUUUUUUUAUCCUAGAAAAUGGCCGCCGCUGAGUAUGUUUCGGAGUGAUGAACUAUUCUAAUCUUAAAUCCUUCCUGUGUUUACUGUUUGUUUACAACUCGUUUAUUUUUGGCUUUAUUUAUGAUGAAGGCUAAAAAGGAAAUCCGUGUGCCGGAAGUAGUGUGACGUCGCAGUGUGUUUGCGCACGCCAACGAUUUUUAACCGUUGAGCGUGCGCGCGCUUAUCUGUUCUGUAUUCUAGAAAACACACCCGGAAGUACGACCAACCAAUCAGAAGACAGAACCGAAUUCUUUACCUUCCUGUGUGGAAAUGUAAAGCAAAAGAGCUCAGAAGUUUUCUUUUUCUUUCUUUCAUUUUCUUUCUUUCUUUUAUUUUUUAAUUUGUUGUAUAAACAGUAAAUUUACAUAUUAGGCUUGUAAAUGUGUACUAAAAUAAGAUUUUUUGUUUUAUAGUAUGUUAAACUGUAAUUUGCAUCAUUGUGCAUAUUAAUGUUAUUUUAAAAUGAGUUUAGUUAAGAUUACAGUAGAUUCAUGUUGUUUAUUUACAUUCUGAACGUUAGAUUAGAAAUUUAACAACUUUGUGUUUUGAAAAAACAAACAAACAUUAAUGCAACAUUUUAAACCUGUUUAAUUCAAUUGACUGGUCUGAGGUCUUUAAUAAUAGAUAAUAAAGUCGCUUUUUUGUUGCCGAGUGAAAACGUGUUUAUUUCUGUACGUGUCAUUGAUGUAAAGCCUCUUCUUACAGUUUGUACUGAGUUCACAUUUCACGCCUGAUUUGGGUAAAAGUCAGAAGGAAACAUUUAGUAGGAGGGAAUUUCCUGUUUUGGUUUUAAAUCAGAGUUUUGAAACUUGCUGCUGUCGUUUCUCGCCCUCUUCUUACAUAAACACCUUUUCACUCAUUCAACCGCCAACAAAACAAUUAAAACACAAGCCAAUUCCAUUGUCUGCGUUUUAUUUAUUUUUUUAGAGUGAGGUGUAUUUAAUUUCUAUUCUGAAAUAUUCUUUUUUAUUUAUUUCCUGUGUUAAAUAUUGAAAUGUGUGUGUGGGGGUUGUUUUUAAAAUCUUAUGUUCUCUGAGAAAGGGACAAAACUGAGGUUUUAUAGUACAAACACUUGUCAAUUGAGAGAGUCAUGUCUUUUCUAUUUAAUUAAAUGCAACACAGCCAUCCAUAAUGAGCUACUCUUCUACCUUUGACUGUAUGUCUGGGAUUAAAACUAUACCCGUUUCUUUAUUUAAUUGUUUAGACAAACACAUUUCCCUGAUUGCCUUAAAUAGUUUGUAAUUAUGUUAUGUGAGGGAAAUUAUUCAUUUUUACUUUGUAAUAGUAUUGUUCUUGUUCUGUUUCAUUCUCAUCUGAGGAUAACGCCUAAGAAGGCCACGUCAUGUCACUGAGAUCAGUACAGAAUGUUUAUCUGCUUACAGAGACACAAACAUGUUCUUCUGUUCAAGAGGACGAGUCUGUGAGUGUUGUCUAAUUUUCCCAACAAUUUGGCGUCUCCUGGCUGGACUGCACGAGUCUUUCAGCUUUUCUGGACAACAAGCAAACCAGAGGACGCUCGCGGAAAAGUUUUCACCCUGAAGUCCGUGUUCGCACGCAGGCGGUUUGCCCUUUGUUGUGUAAAGUGAAAGACUGAUGCAGCCUUACCACUGACCGGUAGGAAUCAUCAAGAAUUUAGAAUGAGAAUUUUAUGAAGUCAAUGUGUAUUGCUGUCUCUAUGGAAGGGAACAUCCAGGAACUUCGCCUCUGCGACGGCAGAGAUAUUGGUGUUUCUUAGAUCACAGCUUCAAAAUUAAGAUCUAUACUGACGGGUGUGUAUGUGUGUGUAUAUAUGUAUAUUAAUAUUAGAGAGAUAAUAACGGUAAAAAUAUUUGCUAAUGGGAAGAGUCAGUUUUGAGCAAUAAAUAAACGGAGUACUUAUUAAGGAGCGCAGUAUUUUUGUGGUGGGUUAUUAUGAAGUGGGAUGCCUCAUUCCAUCAUAUCAGCGGUACAUGAUAUAUUUGGCAAAUUUAAUGCACAAGUAAAUUUUACUGAGAUAAAAAAUAAUAAUAAUAAUAAAAAAAUAAAUUAUUAAGAAAAAAGAAGGGAAGAGAAAACAGUAGGUCCUACCAAAUUGCUGUAUGUGGACUCUCCCUCACAGGUAAACUCUUUUACAUUCUUAAGGUUUGCUCUAUUGAACCUAUAAGUUAUAUGAUUAAUUUUUCUGUCUGUGCAUGAGAAUGCAUAUUCACUUGAUUUUUAUAGCAUGUUAAAUUGAUUAAAACUUUAAAAUGAAAGUUAUAGAAGGUGUAAAAAAGAGAAAAAGCACAUCCUGAGCCACAUGCUAUGGUAUGUACAGGGUACUCAUAUGUUGGUCCUAAUAUCACAUUUAUGCGUGUGAAUUAUGGGGAAGGAUGUUUGAACCAGUAUGAUGUAUGGGUUAAAGAAUGUGCUUUCCUGGAAAAAGGUAGUUUUAGUCUCAGACAGUUAGAACAACAGAAAUUUAAUUUGUAAGCAAAGAAGAGAGAUAUUUCUAAAAUAAUUUUUUUUAAAAACACAGUUUUUGGCAGACUGGAGGGCAUUUGCUGAAGGGCAGAGUGAGGCACAUAAAAGAGAGAAAAAAUGGCAGGCAGGGCCCUCAUCUGUUUCGCAGUGUGCUAAAUUGCAGAAAGCCGAUCCCGACCUGGACUCCGCCCCACCAUGACACCCACAGCCAGGAAGGAGGGAGGAACCUGCAGUUUGAGAGGCACCUCUUCACGAUGAAGCGGCCCAGCCUACACCACUCUAUCCGAACCUGUCAGAACUGAUCCACCAACCCCCACCGAACUAUGCUCCAGCCGUCCUAUCUUCACCGGUGGCGUUACACACGAGAUCCCAAGUGAAUGGACCAACAGCAUUGCUGCCUGAGGGCUUCAGACCAACAAAAUCAGACAGAGAAGGGACAGUGCACGCCGUGGUAAAUGCCCCAAUGCUGGAGGUGGCCAGAGGAGGAGGCCCUAUGCUAGUUGACAUACCCUGGAUAUUGGAAGACAUCAGGAGCAGCAUGAUGCAUUUGCCGGUGCUCCACGAAGUAGGACAACAAAAGUUUGGGGAUGAACUUCUGAGAAUUCAGACCCACCACUCAUGAACUACGACGACUGCUCAUGGCGAAACUUGGCCCGGACUGGGUCAAGGUUUCACCUGAAUUCCCAGAGAACGAUGUCCGCCUGAUCAACCCACAGUGGGCUGAUGGAGUCAACACAAGGUACAGAGCACAAAUCACGGCGUUCAAGCAGAGGCUGACAAACACCUUUCCUGUGCACCUGGACGUGACAAAAAUAGCAAAGUAUCUAUCUCGUCUCACUGAAGUCCAUGAUGCAAAUUAAGACCAGUAGCACUCGCAGAUGGACAAGCAGCCGAAGACACAGCAUGGGUAGCACAUCUCAGAAACAGCUUCAGGAAUGGUAUGAAACCAGAUAUCGUUGCUCUUGUAAAACAUCAACGCAUUACCUGGGAUACUGGAAAUAUGACUCAGGUAGAAUGAUAUGCAAUCCAUGGGGAGAAGCACCUACGAGAGGCAAAGGAAAGAAAGUUGGAGAGGAGAGAAAGACCAAAAGGACGCGGAUGAGGAAGGCCAGAGGGAGACAGGGAACCACAUGACUGUGUUGUACUGACUAAUGAACUCUGCUCCCCUAGAAUCGACCUGAAGGAUGUUCCAUUGGAAAACCCAGAUUUGAUCCUCUUUAUGGACGGGUCAGCGUCAUGUGACCCAGAGACAGGUAAAAAUCGAGUGGGUUAUGAGUAGUGACCGCACACGAGACGGUCUGUCAGGAAGUCUCCCCUCAAAACUUUCAGCACAACCAGCUGAACUGUACGCCCUCAUAGAGGCAUGAAGACCUGCUGAGGGACAGUCAGUAAAUAUCUACACAGACAGUAGAUACGCCUUUGAGGUAGUACAUGAUUUGGGGACAGUUUGGAAACUCAGAGGACGAGUCCGCGAGUGUUGUCUAAUUUCCACGACAAUUAACAGUCCUAAUGGUUUCCGUUAUUAAUUAUUAAUAUUUAUUCUGUUUAGGUGAUGUUUUGCUUUUUUAUAUAUUGAUUAUGAGAUGACCUUCAGUCAUUUCUCCUAACUCACUAAAACACUACACAGAUGUAAUAAAGACAAUUAAAACGAGACUAGAGAAUACAUCUUGUACAUUUAUUUAUUUAUUUAUUAUUUAUUUGAUUGAUUGUUUAUUUAUGUAUGUAAAUUGUUCCUUCUCUAUCUGAUUUAAUAAAAUAUUAAAAGCGUCAGCGUCAUUUAUUUCCUGAAUCUUUACAACCUUUCACACAUUUAAACUCCAAAUUCCUCAUGCUGACUGUAAAAAC